Molecule: ribosomal RNA, 388 nt
Filed under: uncultured bacterium
Lineage: Bacteria
Description: bacterial SSU rRNA
Rfam family: Bacterial small subunit ribosomal RNA
Source: RNAcentral
GACGAACGCUGGCGGCGUGCUUAACACAUGCAAGUCGAGCGGUAAGGCCCUUUCGGGGGUACACGAGCGGCGAACGGGUGAGUAACACGUGGGUGACCUGCUCUUAGCUCUGGGAUAAGCCUGGGAAACUGGGUCUAAUACCGGAUAUGACUCCAUGACGCAUGUUGUGGGGUGGAAAGCCUUGUGCGGCUAGGGAUGGGCCCGCGGCCUAUCAGCUUGUUGGUGGGGUGAUGGCCUACCAAGGCGACGACGGGUAGCCGGCCUGAGAGGGCGACCGGCCACACUGGGACUGAGACACGGCCCAGACUCCUACGGGAGGCAGCAGUGGGGAAUCUUGCGCAAUGGGCGAAAGCCUGACGCAGCGACGCCGCGUGAGGGAUGACGGCCU